UCCCCCUUAAUAAUGCAACAACAAGCAUAUUAUCAAGUUAUCAAGUUAUAAUUUUUCUCCCCCUUUGUCAAUUAAGGCAAAAAGGCAGAAAACAAUUCCUCCCCCUAUGUUAAAGAACAUAAGCAUAGGAAAUGAAAGCAUAUAACUUGUAUAUCAGAUCAGAACAAAGCAAAUAUGCAACAAAUGUAGUAUGGCAGUAUUUAUAUGAUAACAAUUAAUAAAUUUGCUCAUACAUAUAUAUAUUAUUAACAAAAUAUAAAACAGCAAAACAGCAAGACAAACAAAAUAAGACAUCACAAAUAAGGAACUUGACCAUCUAAUCUCCUAAAGUGGGCUGGUUCUCACUAUCAUCUAGGGGAGAGGUAGAGACCGCUGUAUUACCCUCAGCAGGUGUCUCCUCACCGUGAGUCGCAGACCGAUCUAGAGGAUCUGGCUGUGGUUCCUCAGUUGCUUGUCGACCAAUAUGCGCUAUGUCUUCAAAAGAUAGCUUGAGGCCUAGAUGCGCUUGAAUUGCAGCAACAUCCUGAACAACUGAUUUCAGGGAUGUUUGGAUAGAUGUCAAAGUAGCUUCCAUCCUUGCAUUAGACUCUAGUAUUUUGGCGUUGUGUUCCAUUUGAGCUGCCAUAAAUUCCAUCAGUUUUGAAACAAAUGCAGGAGUCUCAGCUGCUGAUUCAGAGGCUUGUGGAGGAGUUGGUUCAACAUUUGGCAUUGGUCUAAUCCAAACAUUGUCUACUUUCUUCAGUUUCAUCUGAUUCACAAUCGCUUCGCCGAAGAUAAGUGUAGUCUUUGCAGAUUCUUCAUUCAAAAACGAUACCUUGAAGUGCUUGAGAACCUUUGUAACCAACUGCGGAUAAGGCAACAUGAGCUUACUGUGUGAAGCUUCUAACAUGUGCCUUAGCACAAUCCACGUCCAACUCAUCUUAAGCUCCUUGGACAAUCCCCAUAACAGUAUAAUAUCAAGCUUCUGAACAACCGCAUGAUUUCCUGAUCGAGGUACAAGCAUUCUUGUUAAUGUAUACAUGAGCAUGCGUUGCUGUACCUUCAUCUGACCAAUUGGCAAUGAGAUGGUUUCCACAAAACCAUCAACCAUGAUGUCUUUCACUGCAGUGUGCCUGUCCAGCGAUGCUUCCCAACCUUCGUCGGCUGCAUCCGCAUCAGAACUGCCGUCUAUUGAUUGUCCAUGAAAUGGCAAUCCUGUCAACUCAGCAAAGUCUUCAAAAGACAUUGAUAAUUUUUUACCUUUAACCUGAGUUUUGAACCCGUCAUCAGUGAGCUUGAAAUUUGCAUAAAAUUCCCGUAUCAAUUUCGGAUAGCUGUCCAAAGUAGAUGAAAGAAAACCUUCAAGACCAUGAAAUCUCAGAUGAUCUUGGAAUGUGAAACCUUCUGUAUCAAAGAAACCAAAGUCUAGGGUUCUGCCUUCAUGAAUUUUCCGUUUAAGAAACUCUGAUGGAAUGGUAACUUCUACAUCCUUAUCUUUAGGUGCUGGAGUUUUCUUAGCUAGGGGUGAUGUAACCGGCUUCUUUUUCUUCUGAGCAAUUUCUUUCAUAGCAUCAGCCAACAACUUCUCACUUGGUGGUUCCUUCCUUUUCUUGAUCUUUUCUGGAAUAGGAGCAGGAGCCUUGCCCUUGUCCUUUGCAAGAAUUUUGUGUGUAGGAAUCGGAAUUCUUUUAGACACAGUAGGUGGCGGAGAGGGAGUUUCACUGGUUGAAGAUGAUGAAGGUGAAGGAGUAUGGGCUUGUGUUUGUUUCACGCGGGCCAUGGUUGCAAAUAGAGGAGAUGAGUGAAGAUAGAGUUCAGAUAUAGUUGCAGAUAUCAGUUGCAGAGACAGAGGAAGAAGAUGAAGCAGAGAAAGAAAAUAUAGAAAUCUGGGUUGAAACAGUGAAGAAAUCGAUUUAGACCUGUUCGUUUUUAUACUUUUACCCUUAUCAAUCGAUUGCCCAAUCGAUUUGCUUACCGUUACACCGAAUCCUUAAUCGAUUGUGUAAUAAUGAUGUCCAACGGCUAGUAAAAAAGUACGCAACGGUCAUUUUCCUAAUCGAUUCCCAAAUCGAUUUGCCGUGUUACUUAAUCGAUGUCCAAAUCGAUUGUCCCAAAAGUCAAAUACUGAACACUUAAUCAAUCGAUUUCCAAAUCGAUGCUCGGGAUUGUUACAAAAUAUUUUCCACAAAAUCUGAAGUCUGGGCUAACCAAAUCGAUUCCCAAAUCGAUUCUUUAAACAAACAAAGAGCAAACUCGAAAUCGAUUACUCAAUCGAUUUAAUCCCAAACAAAACUUCUGAUUAACUGCCAUUGACUCUUUUUCUCUGUCAUCAACACAACUAUGUUGACCAAUCUUUCUUCAUUUAAUCUUCAUUUAAUGUUAAAGACAAGAUUCUCAUACUUGUCUCAUUUCACGUGUCUUGAGCAUCCACUUUCAAAUAUCAAUCUUGCUUGGUGGAUGUCAAGUACACCUGCAAAAACAUAAUUAAUUUUUGGAUCUAGGUACCCAAUUCAGAUUGGGUCCUGGGGGGUCAGUCUUAAACACAGAUUCUUUUGCUAUCCAAACUUGCUUCCAUCCUUGAUUGGCUAAUUUUUUAAAUUUGCAAUUAGACACAAAAUGUCCCUUUCUACAACAGAAAUGACAUUUGCCAUCAAAGGAUGAAUAUUUGUUUGGUUUAGUAAAGGUGUCAUACAUACUCUUAGCAAUAAAAGAUGUUUGACCAUGUUUGACAUUUCUGGUUUGCAUAUAACCAAUACCAGAUCUGUUUUUAUUUUUUCUUUUGACAUGCAUAUUUGGUGUAUAUCCUAAACCAGAUUUUUCAUAAACAUGUCUUUGAUUGCUAAGCAUGACAUUCAGCUUAUCUUUACUAUUUGCAAAAUUUAAUAAAUCAGAUUUUAAAGAUGCAAUAGUAUCUUCAAGUUCAAUGCACUUUGCAGAUUUUUCUUGUGAAUCCUUUUUCAGUUGUUCACAUAAAUUUUCAAUUUCUUUGUGUUCAACAUUCAUUUGUUCAAGCAUUUUCUUUGUGCUUAACAACUGUUUUAUGGAUUUCACAUAAUCAUCAUGCAAUUCAUUGAAAGCUUCUUGAAGCUCAUCAUAUGUUGGAUUAAAUUGCGAACUAACCUCACUGUCAGAUUCUGAAUUAGUGUGAGCCAUGAGACAUAAAUUCACUUUUUCUUCAUCCGAAGAGGCAGAGGACUCAUCGUUAUCGUUGUCACUCCAUGCAAUAUAUGCUCUUUUGGCUUUGUGAGCUCUAUUCUUGUUCUUCAGUUUGUAGCAUUCCGACUUUGUGUGACCAAUCUUACCACAUUCGUAGCAUGUAACUGUCUUGAUGUCACUAGUCUUAGAGCUGGAUGGUUUUCUGAAUUUGUUAUCUUUCUUCUUCAGAAACUUCUUAAAUUUCUUGACAAGUGAUUCGAUUUCAGUCUCUUCUUUUUCACUGCUGGAUCCAUCUGAGUAACUAUCGGAUUCAGGUUUAGAUUGCUUGGUUUGUACUUUCAAGCAUAAUCCUUUCUUUUUCCUGCUUUCCAUUUCGGAUUCAUCCAGUCGUUGUAAUUCCAUUUCAUGUUCCCUCAAUUUACCAAAUAAUGUUGCUGUCGUUAUCUUUGCUAGAUCCUUAGACUCAGCUAUUGCGGUAAUCUUGGGCUGCCAUUCUCUGGUUAAACAUCUCAUGAUCUUUCCAAUCUGCUGUUCAUUAUCCACAUCUUUUCCUAGUGCAUGCAGGUUGUUGACUAUGUGUGUGAAUCUGGUUUGCAAAUCGCUGAUUGACUCUUCUUUCUUCAUGCUAAAUAAUUCAUAUUCGUGCAUGAGCGUAUUCACACGAGCUCUCUUAACAUCAGUAGUACCUUCGUGAGUUUCUUGGAGGAUGUCCCACAUCUCUUUUGCUGACUUGCAAUUGGACACUCUAAAGAACUCUUCUGCACAUAGGGCGGACGUGAUGAUGUUCUUAGCCUUCGCAUUGAAACCAACCUUCUUCUUGUCAUCAUCUGACCAGUCGGCUCUAGGCUUGAUAAUCAUUGAGUUGUCAGUUCCUGCAAUCUUGGGAAUGUACGGACCGUUUUCAACAGCAUCAAGGAUAUCUAUGCCACUUGCUUCCAGAAAUAUGAGCAUUCUUUGCUUCCAGUACAUGUAGGCUGUACCGUUGAAAGCUGGUGGUCGAGCUAACGAAGCGCCUUCUCCCAGAACGUCAGUUGAGGCCAUCUUCUUAUAAGUUUUACCUCUCAAGAAGUUAGCUCUGAUACCAAUUGUUGGUAUCUUGACCUCGAAAUAACAGAAAAUAUAUCAGUUUUCGUUACCAAAUUAAUCAGUAUCAAGUGCACAGCGGAAUUUAAAUUUUGAGGCAUGCAAAGUUAGCAAUAUAGAAAAUUAAAGAGAGAGAGUUAGAGAAGAAAACACAGAGAUUUAUCCUGGUUCGGUUGUUCCACAACAACCUACGUCCAGUCCUGAAAAUCCAAUCGGAUUUCAGAUUUUCUUCUCCUUCAAUAGAAAGAAUCAAUUACAAAGAUUUUCCAGUUUCCUCCCUGAAACCUAUCAAUCUCUAAUUAUAUCUUUCCUAUUGAAUACCCUCUGAUCCUUGAAGACACUCAGCAGCCUAUCACAGAAUCAAAGUGCGACUCUUUCUUGUUGAGCCCUCUCAACCAAGAAAGUAGCCACCAGUUUCGAGCUGGCUUUUCUUGCGUUCUAUUUCGUUCAAAGAAUUAUUACAGAAAGAAUAAAAGACUGUAAAACAAAAGGGUCUUCAAUCUUUAUGAAUGUUGCUCUUCACAAAUCUGGAUAUUCAUGGAUUGUUCUUGAGCACAUUAUCAUUUCUCUUAGAUUGUCAACAAACUGUAUUGAGAUCUGUAAUCACAAUUAUGAAGUUGUUAGUUUGUUGUUAUGAACAGCUAAGAGCGUUGUGAGAAAUUAUGAAAGUUAUGAAAAUGUUGUGUUAAAGUUCUAAGAAGUUGUUAGAAUAAAGAUUGAAAGACAUCUUAUAUAGUUUCUGAAAAACCACUUACGAAAUCGAUUUCCCAAUCGAUUUUGUAAAGUUAUAAAAUGAGCUAAAUCGAUUUGCCAAUCGAUUAUCGCGAUCUUGGUUUUCUUUAAUCUUGAAACUAUACAAGCUAAUCGAUUUACCAAUCGAUUCUUUAAAACAACACUUUUCAGUAAAACAUAUCCAGACUUGCAUAAAUCGAUUUCCUAAUCGAUUGCUGGGAAACUCUCUUAAUAAAAGUAACUUCAAUCGAUUACUCAAUCGAUUUGCCAAACUUCAGAGUCGAUGUAUAAAACCACGGAGUCGAUUUGGUCACAAUCUCAGAGUUCACUGUGUUUUCAAAAAGUUUAUUUCAAUCGAUUUGCCAAUCGAUUGUUUUCAAAACAGUGGCUCAGGUUUUUGAUGUCAAUCGAUUUGCCAAUCGAUUUAAUAGCAUGUUCCUGAAAAGUUUUUACCUGGUGUUUAGUUCAAUCGAUUUCCCAAUCGAUUGCAACCAAACUUUAACAAAAUUAAAAGUGUUAACAAUAGAUUGUCCAAUCGAUUGUAUUUGUCACAGGUGAGGUCAUUUUUCAAAUAAUACUUUGUCAAUCGAUUUGCCAAUCGAUUUAAUAGCAUGUUCCUGAAAAGUUUUUACCUGGUGUUUAGUUCAAUCGAUUUCCCAAUCGAUUGCAACCAAACUUUAACAAAAAGAAAGUGUUAACAAUUGAUUGUCCAAUCGAUUGUAUUUGUCACAGGUGAGGUCAUUUUUCAAAUGAUAUUUUAUCAAUCGAUUUGCCAAUCGAUUCCCUCAGCACUGGAGUGCCACUGUGACUCAUUCAAUCGAUUUACCAAUCGAUGUGUUACCAUCAGGUUUGAUUUGUGAAAUGUUCAAUCGAUUUACCAAUCGAUUACUCUCCAAAUCAGAGGCUACUGACUUGUGCAUUUUUCAUUUUUAAUUAAUCUAAUCGAUUGCCUAAUCGAUUGCACAUUCACAAACACUUAAGAUUUCCUUACACCCUUGUUAUGAAAUCGAUUUCCCAAUCGAUUUACAUAUUCAGAAUUCAACUUUUGUUGAUUUCUUGUGUUCCAAGCAAUUGAUCCAAGUGUGUAGGAUUGAAUUGGUGUUCCUGAAAUUUUGCUCAAUUGAAAUAUUAGAUUUAUCAUAUUAAGUAUGAAUAUUGUUGAAUUGUGAAUUAUGUCAAAAUUAGGAAUCAAAGGAUCAAAAUCCAACAAUCUCCCCCUUUUUGGCAUAAUUGACAAUUCAUACAAUUGUAACUUGAGCAUAUCAAACCAUUUCAAAAUCAUACCAAAGAAACCAAUUCAUAGCAUUAAAUAUGUACCAAUACAGAUCAUCAGAGCAUGUGUCAAAAUGUAUCAAAUCAGCAUUACAUUAUUAAGUAUCAGAGCAAAAACAAACAACAUCAGAUGCUCCCCCUUAAUAAUGCAACAACAAGCAUAUUAUCAAGUUAUCAAGUUAUAAUUUUUCUCCCCCUUUGUCAAUUAAGGCAAAAAGGCAGAAAACAAUUCCUCCCCCUAUGUUAAAGAACAUAAGCAUAGGAAAUGAAAUCAUAUAACUUGUAUAUCAGAUCAGAACAAAACAAAUAUGCAACAGAUGUAGUAUGGCAGUAUUUAUAUGAUAACAAUUAAUACAUUUGCUCAUACAUAUAUAUUAAUAAAACAUAAAACAGCAAAAACAGCAAGACAACCAAAAAUAAGACAACACAAAUAAGGAACUUGACCAUCUAAUCUCCUAGAGUGGGCUGGUUCUCACUAUCAUCCAGGGGAGAGGUAGAGACCGCUGUAUUACCCUCAGCAGGUGUCUCCUCACCGUGAGUCGCAGACCGAUCUAGAGGAUCUGGCUGUGGUUCCUCAGUUGCUUGUCGACCAAUAUGCGCUAUGUCUUCAAAAGAUAGCUUGAGGCCUAGAUGCGCUUGAAUUGCAGCAACAUCCUGAACAACUGAUUUCAGGGAUGUUUGGAUAGAUGUCAAGGUAGCUUCCAUCCUUGCAUUAGACUCUAGUAUUUUGGCGUUGUGUUCCAUCUGAGCUGCCAUAAAUUCCAUCAGUUUUGAAACAAAGGCAGGAGCCUCAGCUGCUGAUUCAGAUGCUUGUGGAGGAGUUGGUUCAACAUUUGGCAUUGGUCUAAUCCAAACAUUAUCUACUUUCUUCAGUUUCAUCUGAUUCACAAUCGCUUCGCCGAAGAUAAGUGUAGUCUUUGCAGAUUCUUCAUUCAAAAACGAUACCUUGAAGUGCUUGAGAACCUUUGUAACCAACUGCGGAUAAGGCAACAUAAUCUUACUGUGUGAAGCUUCUAACAUGUGCCUUAGCACAAUCCACGUCCAACUCAUCUUAAGUUCCUUGGACAAUCCCCAUAAUAAUAUAAUAUCAAGCUUCUGAACAACAGCAUGAUUUCCUGAUCGAGGUACAAGCAUUCUUGUUAAUGUAUACAUGAGCAUGCGUUGCUGUAC
Molecule: long non-coding RNA, 7392 nt
Filed under: Cicer arietinum (chickpea)
Lineage: Eukaryota; Viridiplantae; Streptophyta; Magnoliopsida; Fabales; Fabaceae
Description: long non-coding RNA (CARI_LNC000500)
Source: RNAcentral